Molecule: ribosomal RNA, 496 nt
Filed under: uncultured bacterium
Lineage: Bacteria
Description: partial 16S ribosomal RNA
Rfam family: Bacterial small subunit ribosomal RNA
Source: RNAcentral
AUGAACGCUGGCGGCGUGCCUAAUACAUGCAAGUCGAGCGAACAGACGAGGAGCUUGCUCCUCUGACGUUAGCGGCGGACGGGUGAGUAACACGUGGAUAACCUACCUAUAAGACUGGGAUAACUUCGGGAAACCGGAGCUAAUACCGGAUAAUAUAUUGAACCGCAUGGUUCAAUAGUGAAAGACGGUUUUGCUCUCACUUAUAGAUGGAUCCGCGCCGCAUUAGCUAGUUGGUAAGGUAACGGCUUACCAAGGCAACGAUGCGUAGCCGACCUGAGAGGGUGAUCGGCCACACUGGAACUGAGACACGGUCCAGACUCCUACGGGAGGCAGCAGUAGGGAAUCUUCCGCAAUGGGCGAAAGCCUGACGGAGCAACGCCGCGUGAGUGAUGAAGGUCUUCGGAUCGUAAAACUCUGUUAUUAGGGAAGAACAAAUGUGUAAGUAACUAUGCACGUCUUGACGGUACCUAAUCAGAAAGCCACGGCUAACUACGUG